Long non-coding RNA from Felis catus (domestic cat), 580 nucleotides. RefSeq lists it as uncharacterized. The transcript is spliced from 2 exons. Lineage: Eukaryota; Metazoa; Chordata; Mammalia; Carnivora; Felidae. The record is from RefSeq and is a predicted model, not a curated record.
UCUCCGGAGAGAGUGUGUCGCUUACCCGCGCGGCCUUCUGGGCGUGGCCGGCGCAAUCGGGGCGGCGAAUCCCGGAACCCCUAGACUCCGGUUCCAGCCCCCCCAUGGGACUUAAGACCCUCCCCCCCACCCACCGUAGGCUUCCCGCCUCGGGCUGCGGCCUUCGGCCUCUUCACAUCACCGCGAAACGUACGCCUGCCUAACCCAAGAAUUUUCUACGCACUUUUUCCUGACUCUGGCCACUCUCUUGAUCAGCUGUCUUUCCAGGUCUUCACCUUAGGAAGCAAUGCCCUCGCAUUAACCAAGAGGCAGUUUGAUGUGGUGAUUAAAAGCAUGGACUCUUGUGUCAGACUGCUGGGGUUCAAAUCCCAGCAUCCCCCCUUACCAGCUGUGCAAUCUUAGGCAUCACUUGUGGAACGGAGAUCGUCUUACCUACCGUAGGCUUGCUGGGCACCUAGAACUCCACCAGGAAGUAGAAAGGAUCAAGUGUCGUCCAACAUAGCUGCAUUUCUCAAAAGCAUUUAUGAAGUACUUUGUGUUUGGAGGCAGUUUGUGACUCGAACACUGGCGAAUGGUCUCA